RNAcentral lists this ribosomal RNA (304 nucleotides) under uncultured bacterium. RNAcentral describes it as "bacterial SSU rRNA". It matches the Rfam family "Bacterial small subunit ribosomal RNA", at positions 30 to 327 of the family's 1533-position model. The record is from RNAcentral.
AUUGAACGCUGGCGGCAUGCCUUACACAUGCAAGUCGAACGGCAGCGCGGGAGCAAUCCUGGCGGCGAGUGGCGAACGGGUGAGUAAUAUAUCGGAACGUGCCCUGUAGCGGGGGAUAACCUAUCGAAAGAUGGACUAAUACCGCAUACGCUCUACGGAGGAAAGCGGGGUUCUUGGGCAACUGAGGACCUCGCACUAUAGGAGCGGCCGAUAUCGGAUUAGCUAGUUGGCGGGUAAAAGCCCACCAAGGCGACGAUCCGUAGCUGGUCUGAGAGGAUGAUCAGCCACACUGGAACUGAGACAC